Molecule: long non-coding RNA, 500 nt
Filed under: Populus trichocarpa (black cottonwood)
Lineage: Eukaryota; Viridiplantae; Streptophyta; Magnoliopsida; Malpighiales; Salicaceae
Description: long non-coding RNA (PTRI_LNC001262)
Source: RNAcentral
UGGGGAUGUCCUCGCAGGAGGGAAAGUAUGAUACUUGUGUUGCUACUUGCGAUACUGUUGGAAUUGAAGGUCGGUCAGCUAAGAAGCGAGUGUCAGGGGUGGAAAAUCUGGGGCAAAUAAUUAAGGAGAUUCUGGGCUUGCUAAUGUCAGGGGGCUUAUUAGAAACGGGACACGGCAGAGUGGCAGCCUAGGUGGUGGCCUCGUAGAUUUUGAAUUAAUUUGGAAUUGUGGUAACCUGGGUGGUGGCCUCGUAGAUUUUAUUGCUAACACGGGCCGUCGCUCGUCUCUCAACCUAGAUGUUCCUCGACUUCACUACUUGAAAAAGAACUCUGUGGUUGUAGCUGAAGCUGCAAAGGGACGAAAUGAGAAUAUCACUAGAAAACCUGUCUUCUUCUGGGGAAAAAUAAAAUGAAAUGCUUGGACUUCGUUAUAUGUAUUAUCGUCAUAUGUAUCAUGUAAGCGAGUGAACUGACUGGUAUAAAAUAAAACAUUCAGAGCUG